This 565-nucleotide ribosomal RNA is filed under the name uncultured bacterium. RNAcentral's name for it is "bacterial SSU rRNA". It matches the Rfam family "Bacterial small subunit ribosomal RNA", at positions 358 to 916 of the family's 1533-position model. The record is from RNAcentral.
GGAAUUUUGGACAAUGGGGGAAACCCUGAUCCAGCCAUUCCGCGUGUGCGAUGAAGGCCUUCGGGUUGUAAAGCACUUUUGGCAGGAAAGAAAUCGCACAGAUUAAUACUUUGUGUGGAUGACGGUACCUGCAGAAUAAGCACCGGCUAACUACGUGCCAGCAGCCGCGGUAAUACGUAGGGUGCAAGCGUUAAUCGGAAUUACUGGGCGUAAAGCGUGCGCAGGCGGUUCGGAAAGAGAGGUGUGAAAUCCCAGGGCUUAACCUUGGAACUGCACUUUUAACUCCCGAGCUAGAGUAUGUCAGAGGGGGGUGGAAUUCCGCGUGUAGCAGUGAAAUGCGUAGAUAUGCGGAGGAACACCGAUGGCGAAGGCAGCCCCCUGGGAUGAUACUGACGCUCAUGCACGAAAGCGUGGGGAGCAAACGGGAUUAGAUACCCUGGUAGUCCACGCCCUAAACGAUGUCAACUAGCUGUUGGGGGCUUCGGCCCUUAGUAGCGCAGCUAACGCGUGAAGUUGACCGCCUGGGGAGUACGGUCGCAAGAUUAAAACUCAAAGGAAUUGACGG